AAGCAGUGUAGUGUAAAUAGGAGUUACAAAAGUGUUUCAACUUAAAAAGAGAGAUCACAGAGAAUCUGAGGACUGUAAUUGAACAACAUCCCUCGAUGACUUUGUAUACACAAAAGGACACCACCAUCUAACUUUGAUACACUAAGAGACAGGAACAGCAAGUGGAACAUGUGAGUGCUUGCAUAACAUCAUCCAGUGGGUCGUUUUUUAAAAAAAUGUCGAGGAAAGUUAGACCAUGAUUAACCCGGAGUUGUUAGAGUGAAGUUCUUAGCGGAAGUUAAGAAACGCUAAAAACUUCUUCCUAAGAACCUUGGGUUAAUCAUGCUCUUAUAGUUGAUAACGUUUUUUUUGUAUAUAGUUGUGUACACGGUGCUCCAAUUGGAAUGUUAGGUUACUGAGUUUUUUCUGCUGAAAUGCAAACUAUUAUUUGUUAGAUAUAUUGUGCUUUUCCUUUUGUAACGUGGUGGUCGUUUGGAAUUGAAUUCUGGAAGUAUUGGUUAAC
Molecule: long non-coding RNA, 502 nt
Filed under: Brassica napus (rape)
Lineage: Eukaryota; Viridiplantae; Streptophyta; Magnoliopsida; Brassicales; Brassicaceae
Description: long non-coding RNA (BNAP_LNC010639)
Source: RNAcentral